Molecule: ribosomal RNA, 431 nt
Filed under: uncultured bacterium
Lineage: Bacteria
Description: bacterial SSU rRNA
Rfam family: Bacterial small subunit ribosomal RNA
Source: RNAcentral
CGCGAAGAACCUUACCUGGUCUUGACAUCCACAGAACAUUCCAGAGAUGGGAUGGUGCCUUCGGGAACUGUGAGACAGGUGCUGCAUGGCUGUCGUCAGCUCGUGUUGUGAAAUGUUGGGUUAAGUCCCGCAACGAGCGCAACCCUUAUCCUUUGUUGCCAGCGGUCCGGCCGGGAACUCAAAGGAGACUGCCAGUGAUAAACUGGAGGAAGGUGGGGAUGACGUCAAGUCAUCAUGGCCCUUACGACCAGGGCUACACACGUGCUACAAUGGCGCAUACAAAGAGAAGCGACCUCGCGAGAGCAAGCGGACCUCAUAAAGUGYGUCGUAGUCCGGAUUGGAGUCUGCAACUCGACUCCAUGAAGUCGGAAUCGCUAGUAAUCGUGGAUCAGAAUGCCACGGUGAAUACGUUCCCGGGUCUUGUACACACC